Molecule: long non-coding RNA, 361 nt
Filed under: Arabidopsis lyrata
Lineage: Eukaryota; Viridiplantae; Streptophyta; Magnoliopsida; Brassicales; Brassicaceae
Description: long non-coding RNA (ALYR_LNC000137)
Source: RNAcentral
CCUACGGUGCUAUCACUCUAGCUGGAAAGGAUGGAGAUUUUACAGUCAAUGGCCAGAAGCUUAAGAGAUACAUGGCAAAUCAAUACAUUCCAGAAGGAACUUCUGUUCCUUUGGAGGAACCUCUUAAUGCCUAAUAAGUGUGAGGAGUCAGGCUAGAGACUUAAAACAAGCUCACUUGGGAGGAAGUCCCAUGACUAUCUCUGUAAAUAAUUUUUCCUUUCUUGUUAUUUUUGAUUUGUUUUGAUUGUGUUUGUGGUUCUCAGGAAUGGAGAAACAAUCUGGAGAUAGAGUAAAAAUUCAAAAAAUUCUACCAAGGACAUGGGGAUCGAGUAUAUCAGCCCGGUGGAGUCCAAAAAUUUUA